RNAcentral lists this long non-coding RNA (1468 nucleotides) under Nothobranchius furzeri (turquoise killifish). RNAcentral describes it as "lncRNA (ENSNFUG00015020038.1)". Lineage: Eukaryota; Metazoa; Chordata; Actinopteri; Cyprinodontiformes; Nothobranchiidae. The record is from RNAcentral.
UGUGUGUGUGUGUGCGUGUGUGUGUGUGUGUGUGUGUGUGUGUGUGCGUGUGUGUGUGUGUGUGUGUGUGUGUGUGUGCGUGUGUGUGUGUGUGUGUGUGUGUGUGUGUGCGUGUGUGUGUGUGUGUGUGUGUGUGUGUGUGCGUGUGUGUGUGUGUGUGUGUGUGUGUGUGUGCGUGUGUGUGUGUGUGUGUGUGUGUGUGUGUGCGUGUGUGUGUGUGUGUGUGUGUGUGUGUGCAUGACUGUGAGCAAGUGUGUGCUCGUGCGUUCUUGUGAGCACUCAGGUCUGGACGGGCGGUUGAAUAGACCCCAGGUUCUGCAGCUUGCUAAUGGAAUCCUGUCCACUCAAGGAGGUCUGUGGAGGAGGGAGGCCAAGACAGAAGCACCUUUGUUGGCCAUGUUGUACCGUGGGUGGCCCCCCUCCUGUCUUCAGACCCUCAUUUGUAUCACGUGUGUUGAGUGGUGGGUUUGGGCACCGGGCACGGAUGGCCUUGGCACUCGAGCGGCCAGACUGCGGUGGGAGACCUACAUGCAGCCUGGAUGGGUUUUAGGACGUGGCUCUAGGAGAGCAGGAGGAAGAAAUCUGCACCACUUUGUCUGGAGCAGAGGCAACGAAGGGGAACGUGCAUGUCUCCCUUUUUGGAAUGGCACCUGCAACCUGUGGAGGUUUUUGAAACAAGGGAAAAGUGACCAUCACAGCUAUCAGCCGUGGAUCGGCGAGGAAGGACUGUGAUUUACAGAUAGCACCUUGUCUCUCCUGCUGGCACCCCGUCAUUACACCGAGCUGAGCACUGGGAGAUAGGUGCUGCGAACAAGAAAGGACCUCUUCUGUAAAUGUCAACGCCAGUCAGAGCCUCAAAUUUUCUCCAUUAACUCUUUCCCCUGCAGUUCUCCAUACUCUAAGCCAAUAAUUACAUGACUUACUCCCUCCUAUUACCAAAUGUUUGGGGUCUAAGUGAUGUUAGAACAUCUGGACAACACACACUCAAAGGAAAAUAAAGCUAUUUGCCAUUUAAUUUAUCUUUCACUGUCUUAAUAGUCUUCUGCUGGCAUGUUUUCUAAGAAGUCACUUUGUGUUCUGAUUUGCAAAAUUUGUCAAAAUUCUGUAUUAAAAGGUUUUAUGGUAUUAAUGUGACUAGAAAUAAGGCAGAAUGCAAACAGUCAGCGCAGGUACGGGAAAUUAAUUUCAUGCUUCAUUCUGUGUUCCUGCUUUUGACCAUGACCUGAAGUUAGUGUGUGGUUACGGUGUGAAAUAGUAAUUUCAGCUCAGAUUCUACGGCAAAAAAAUGUUUUCAUUAUGAAACCAUAAAAAAACACAAGUGCUUAUUAUUUGAAUAUGCAGUUAUGUUCUAAUUAAAUAUUUAUUUUGCAUGAGUGUGUGCAUGUGAUGGAGAUUUCUGUUUGGAUUGAGGGAUAAGACUUUGUGUGUAUGUGUGUGUGUGUGUGUGUGUGCGUGCGCGGGGGUGGGG